RNAcentral lists this unclassified non-coding RNA (3778 nucleotides) under Hevea brasiliensis (rubber tree). The record is from RNAcentral. Lineage: Eukaryota; Viridiplantae; Streptophyta; Magnoliopsida; Malpighiales; Euphorbiaceae.
UUUUUUUUUUUUUUAAUCUAAACUCUUGCUUAGCAUAUUCAAUACAAUAUAGAAACCAAGCAGGAAUGUCCAAUACAUAGCAGCACACCACACAAAAUACCUACACAGAGUCCAAAAUGUAGUUUUCUCACAAGCCUAUCAAUAUAAUAUGUUAACACUUAUUUGUAGUAUGUAAUCGAUAUAUUGUGACCAUUGAUCAUGACGGGUUCAUGUAGAUCUAUCAUAAUCAAUGAUUAGAUGUAUUUAUUGCAUAUAUAACGGUUGCACUGAAUAAAUUCUCGUAGUUUGAGAGUUGAGACUUCAUUGGUCACACUGAAUCGAGUGAGUUGAAAUGGGUCCAUGCUUCCUGCAGAAUAUCGAAAACUUUUUCUGCUAUGUAUUUUUGAUGUGAUGCAGCACCUUUCUGCUGUAGUUUAUCUGGGUGUAGACUGAGUAAGGCCUUCUGGUAUGAUCUUUUCACUGCAUUUCCUUCAAUUAUAUCAACAAGAGGCACAGGCUUCCACCCGCUUUCAGGCCAAAGUACAUAUUGUAAAGUUGAGAGGAGGGAACGGAUGCUCCCUUCUUUUCCAUUUGACCACUUCCAAAUUUUAGCAUUAAUGACUUGGAUAUCUUCUUGGUUAUCACCAACUUGUGGCAGUUCAUCUCCAUCCUGAGGUAAUUCUUUAAUCAGGAUAUUUCCUUGGAAGGAAUCAUCUGGAUCUCCAGCUAUUGCUUCUGAGCCAUCAGAAAUUGGUCCUGCAGUUGGCGCUGACCCAUCCUCAAGUCCAGAAGAAAUCUCCAUGGACUUAUGGUCGUUGUUCCUUGUAUCAGAAUGUUGUUUCUCUAACAGCAUAAGAAACUCAUCUACCUGAAGCAUAUCAUUCAUUCAGAACUGUUCUGGAAAUUUUUUGGCAUUCAGAAAAUUAUAUAAUUGUAUGAAUUGUUAAUGCAAGGGCAAGCAAAACAAAUAUCGCCUUAAAGCUACCACAAUGUAAGCAUGGGGUGUAUUGUUUUUGUUUGCAUCAGGCAAGUGCACUUUCUCAUUUACCUGAGUUGAGGUAACACUUGCAUCAUCUUCUGUCUUGAAUUUGCCUCUCUCCUUCCAUCUAGAGCUUCGAGUUUGAGAGCCCACAUUGAAUUUGGGUUUGUUUGAAGCUUCCUGGUUAAAAAUUUUAACAAAUUCCCUGACUUUUCCCUUUCCUUGAUUCUUUGCAAGGCUAUCUCGUGAAUUCAUGGAUGAACCUUGUAAGUUGGUUUUAACCAUAACUUCACUAUUCAAUAUGACUCCUUUUCCAUCUCGUUUCUUUACUUUUUCACUGACAUCAAAUCCUGCUACUGACUUUUUGAUGCUUUUCACCUUGCUUUCCUUUAAUUCAUUUUUGGUAGUCAUCUCAUCGGUGGCUAUCAACAGAGAACGUAGUGUCUUUGACUCAGACUUGGGAGCUUCUUGUGUAGCCACAGAAAAUUUCUUCUCUAUUUUUCCAGAAAAGCCCGUACCAAGAACAGAACGAGGUUUUGUUUCUUUAUUUGAAUUCUGAAAGAUAACAUUACCAGGACCAUCUUCAUGAUGAGUGCUUGGGACUUCGGAGACAGAUUUAGGAAGAAUUGCCUCCUCAAGAUUCUGCACUUGUUCUAAUUUUCUAAGGGUCCUUCUAUUGAAAAGGGAGCCAUUCUCUUUUUUAUCAAAUUCAAUCUCAGAGGACUUAGCAUCUGACGAUGUGCUAAUAUUGGAUGAGAGGCAAUCGAUAUCCUGAGGAAUCACUGUCGGUAAUUCCUUUGCCAUACCUUCACAUGCUAUCCGUCCAGAAGCACUUGAACUCCUCUCAAAUUUAAACUUCUCUUUCCAUUUUGAACUAUUUCCCCCUCCAAGAGGCAAUGCUAGUGGUAUCCCUUUACUUGCCCAUUUGUAAAUAGAGAAGUGGAACUGGUUACCUAUGCUUGGACCUUCAGAACAAUUUGAAUCAAUUUUCAAAUCAUUGCCUUCGGCCAUUUCAUUAGGAUUCACAAUGUUUAAUGACUCUUCAAUGCUAAGAGAUUGCGCCUGCGAUAAAGAGCUCUGGAAAAAAACAUCAUUUCUCGACGGCCCCUGAGCUUGAUUUGCUUUGCUUGAAAAUCUAGACACAGGAGAAUAUGAAUAAAAGCUUAUUCCAGUUGAGGUACCAUCCUUAUUUCUGUGAUGAUUACGGGCACUGGAUCCAAAAGUUGGCAAGUCUUUCCCUUUAAUUAGUUUGGCAGGGAGGCUGAAUUGUGCUGGCACUGAUGAACUCGCAAAGGGCUCAGCCCUUGGUGGCAGGGGAUGAACAGGACUUAAAACUCUCGAACCUGGAGCGGAAGAGAAUGGAUCUCGAUUGUUCUUCCUUGGAGAAGAAGUGGAAUACUCAUUGCCUUUAAAAAUAUCAUCAAAGAAGUCAUCACUUGUAUAUCGCCUUCUACUAACCCCUUCCUCUCCAAAGACAGGCUUCUCGCUCAGACCAGACCACCGAGGGCGAUAUGAACUUGUUUCCUCAUCACUCCUUAAUGCAUAUGAAUCUUUACUUUCACUAAAGCCGUGUCGCACCUCCUGAAUUGACGGUCGCCUUGGAGGGCCACCGAACACAUCAUUGAAAUCAAUAUCUGAUGAGUUUCUACAGGGGCUUUUUGGAGAAGAAAUUGGAUGGUUCAUAGAGGAUCUUUGAGGGCUAUAACCCAAAAGAAUGCUCUCUUUCUCAGAAAACCUCUUCAUUUUUACUAGUACCAAUACCUUUGAGGAGACUAAUUCAAAAAGGAAAUUUGGCGGGAAAUCUCUUCGCAGCUAAGUGAUCUUGGAACUGCAGCAAAGGGGUAAUGGAGAUUGGCUGUUGCUGCUAAACUAGCACAGAUUUUGAGAUUUGAGAAUCUGAAUUGUUAAAAUUGGAAACUUGGAGAAGAUCUUGAAAGGGAAAAUACAGAAGGUGGGGUUAAGGUUGGUGUGGUUGAGUGUGAGGAUCUGUGUGUGUGUGUGUGGAUAAGGUGAAGAAAAUUCCAAAAGAAAAUAGUUAGGCUAAUUUUGUCUUGAAGAGGAAUUUGAGAAUUAGAUCUCUUGGUCACCGUUAACUAAGAUUCUUGUGAUACGACGCUCGUUUGGGUCAGUUUCCUACUAGCAUGACAGCCUGUGAUUGCCGUUAUAUGAAUGCAAGUCCUCGUGACAAUUUUGGACAGACAGAAGUGCUUUGACAAACACUGUCCACGUAAAUUAAAUGCCAAACCUAAAACCCAAGUAUUAUUGUUUAAGGAACUUCAAUUUUGUCGAAUGAUAUUUUGCGCAGUAACACAAGCUCAUCAGAGACGUGCGUGAUUGAAUAAAGCAACCAGCCCCAGGGCCGUUGGAAUUCAUGACUUGUGGCCCAUGUCCACCACUAUUUAUUACGUGUGAGUUAUUCAUGUCCGUUGCCAGUCAAUAUCCGCUCAUUGCUUAUCUGAGCUCCACAAGUUGGCAUAUCAAUCAUCCUGAAAAAACUUGAGCAAUAGAGCUUGCAACAAGUACAGUAAUAAGUACAUGGCCAAAUUUUCAUAGGAAAAAGAAGACAAAAACGUUCAUGAAAUUGUUGGUGCUCAUAAUAUACCACAAACAUAUCAAUGAAGGUAAUUGAAUGAAACUGAACUUUUAUGUUGCAGAACCAAUCUCAAGAAAAAACAAGGGAAAGUUCAUCUCACAUUAAAUUAAAUUAACCUACCUGUAACAUGUGAAUUAUAACAAGUGAUAUGAUGAGCCCAUCUGAUUGGUAACUACAGAAGAUUACAGGAGAAUUAGGCUUGCCCCAACAGAUGGGCUCAUCAUAUC